UUUCCCUGGGACAGCGGCGCUUUUCAGUUGAAGAUACACGAGAGGAGAGAAUGAAAAAAGACCAGCAAGGUAAAAUAAUCUAUAUAAGUUAUUUAUUAUCAGACCCGCGGUUGUUGUUUACCCGAACGGGACAUUUUAAAACCGUUAACCGGACGCGUUGCUUAACGUAUAACGGUAAUAUUAGUUGACCAAAGUCAGUAUAAACCUUAUUAAUAAAUCAUACUAUGUGUAUGCAAGCCUACGAGCACGCGCGGUGCGUUAAAUUACACGCUAGUGUUUUCCUUUUAUAAAACUAUUAUGAGAAAUGCUUAACGUAGCCUAAUGUAUACGUCAAUGAUAUGAAAAGAUCAGAUUUAGUAUAUAACGUUACCACAGAGAAUAAUUUAUUAAUAUAAAAGCAUAUUUAAAAAAGUGUAAGUUACCACGUUGUGUUUAUAUUCUCAUCCGCUUGGCUUUACCUGUUACAUAAAUGAUGCGUUAUUAAUAAGGUGUAUAACUAAAUUUUAUCUUUCAAAUUCGAUAAACUACGUUAAGCAUUUUAGAAAGUCCCAUGUGAACAUAAUAAGAGUUUCCUUAACAUUUAGUUUUACAAACGACUUCAACGUAUGAGCGUAUGUUAUGUGUGUGUUGUGGCCAAUCGGAAAAACAUUAUAUUUUCAAUGUGAAUAUGUUUAAACAUAAAGGCUGAAACCUAAUUUGCAUAAAAUAAAGUUUUAAAAUGUGUUUUUGUUUUGUAUUAAAUUGCUUUUGAGGCCAAGGUAGCUGUACAGUAAAUAUUCAGCCUCCAUCAGAGAACCAUGUCCCACUGUCAUAAUACACAGACCUGUGGCAAUGUGUAGUGAUUUGAGUAGUGUACAUCUACUCUGGUUAUUAUUUCAAAACAGUAUUUACUGAAAAAUAUGAGUGUUUAGCAUCAUGUAUUAAAUGUGUUAAAUAUGUCCUUUUUUCCCUGCAUUUAUUCUGCUGUCUAAAAUUCUUUGGGAGGAUAAAUUAAGGAGGAUGUAACAAAAUACACUGAAAGAACUGGAAUGAGAGACAAGUGAGGAUGAAGAGGACAACAGAAUAUCCAUCCUUUCUUCACCACCUCACAGAGUUUGAGUGAAACAACUUGUAUUAGGACUCACAGGAUUAUUUUAUAACAAGACUGAUUAUUUUAUACCAGAAGUAUGGUAUUUUUUUGAAGCUACUGUAUUAUUUCUUAUGACAAUGCAUUUUGAUGUGCAUUCAGAACUGUAAGUUGCAAAAACAUUCAUAACGUUAUUGGGAACUUUGGAAACUUUCAAGGAACAUUCUUAGAACCUUUCUCUGUGGUUGAGCAUUGUGUUAGCAUCAUAAAAUGCAAUGGGUUCGAACAAGGUAAUGCACAUGCUGAUAAAAAAUUUAUACUUUGCAUUGCACUGUAUGUUAUUUGCCUUUUUCUGUAAAUGUGAAGAUAAAUGUAAAGACAGACAGUCAUUGUUUAAUUUUAAACCAGUUCUAUUUUAAGAUAACUUAACUAGACUAAAUAAAAGGGUCACAAAAAUUUUAAUUUUGCUAUUAUGAUGCUGAUUUUGUGGUGUUUUGGGUUUUCUGGUUACAGUGGUAGCGGAUCAUGAUCACCUCUCUAGCUUCAAAAGUAGGAUGCAAAAUGUAUAACACCAAAUCAUUAUAGCAUAACUCCUUUAACUUGACAUGAUUUAAAAUCGUCUAAAGGCAGACAUGAUUGCGUGUGAAGUCCUAUGCCAAAGACUCUCCAAAUACUGCAUCUACACAUUCUUCCUGAUGUGUAUAUUUUGUUGGUAUAUCCUGGUUGUUGCAGACCUGACAGUAAACUUGACUGUGAGCAUCCUAUCCAUCAGGUAUAGCUGUUUACUUGCAUUACUCAUUUAGAGAAAUGACAGGUCAAAAUUUAUUAUAUGGAUUAUAUUUUCAUCACCCCCUUUUGUAUGUCUUUGGGACACUUGAAAUAUAUAGCACGUAUAAUGUGGAGCCAUUUUAUAAUGCGGUCACAGACUACUCCCAUUGUAACUGGAAAACCAAAGAAAAUCAUUGUUUAAAUUAUAAAAUUAUAAUUUUUGGAUUAAUUUAACCUGUAAUCAGUGUUAUAUAUGUAUGUUUAUAAUUUGUGUUAUUUUAAAUGUAUUACUGCAAAUGAUUUGAAAUGUGUAUGUUUUAAAUGGAAAUUCACACAACUUCUUAAAGUAUUUGUAUUGUUUUAA
Molecule: long non-coding RNA, 2198 nt
Organism: Paramisgurnus dabryanus
Lineage: Eukaryota; Metazoa; Chordata; Actinopteri; Cypriniformes; Cobitidae
Source: RefSeq, a predicted model, not a curated record